UCGUUGCUUGUUUAGGCCGAUUGCGUUGGCGAAUCUGAACCAUUUAUCGCGAUUGAUGUCGUCCGUCCGAUCGCACCUAAAGAGGGAAUGUAUCUGACCCAUUCAUGUGCGCAUAAUUGAAUCUGGGCCGUCAGAUCGCUAGGCACGCGGAUUGUCUGUGUGGCCUCCUGCGUGGCGCCGACAUCAGCGUGUUUUGUCACGCGACGUGCUCUGGUUCACUGUGGCUGCUGACUGGUCUGUCUCAUGUAGUCGAAUUUCUUCUCUUUGUAUUUUGACCCUUUGUUUUCA
RNAcentral lists this long non-coding RNA (288 nucleotides) under Carica papaya (papaya). RNAcentral describes it as "long non-coding RNA (CPAP_LNC011451)". Lineage: Eukaryota; Viridiplantae; Streptophyta; Magnoliopsida; Brassicales; Caricaceae. The record is from RNAcentral.